Molecule: ribosomal RNA, 433 nt
Filed under: uncultured bacterium
Lineage: Bacteria
Description: partial 16S ribosomal RNA
Rfam family: Bacterial small subunit ribosomal RNA
Source: RNAcentral
AACGAACGCUGGCGGCAUGCCUAACACAUGCAAGUCGAACGAGACCUUCGGGUCUAGUGGCGCACGGGUGCGUAACGCGUGGGAACCUGCCCUUAGGUUCGGAAUAACUCCCCGCAAGGGGUGCUAAUACCGGAUAAUGUCUUCGGACCAAAGAUUUAUCGCCUUUGGAUGGGGCCGCGUUGGAUUAGCUAGUUGGUAGGGUAAAAGCCUACCAAGGCGACGAUCCAUAGCUGGUCUGAGAGGAUGAUCGGCCACACUGGGACUGAGACACGGCCCAGACUCCUACGGGAGGCAGCAGUGGGGAAUAUUGGACAAUGGGCGAAAGCCUGAUCCAGCAAUGCCGCGUGAGUGAUGAAGGCCUUAGGGUUGUAAAGCUCUUUUACCCGGGAUGAUAAUGACAGUACCGGGAGAAUAAGCUCCGGCUAACUCCGUG